UAGAAAUAAAAGAUGUCAUUUCGUAUAACUGCAGGAAUAGGGCCUGCGAGUCUCUACCAAGCUACCGUAAAUAGCUUGACUACGAAAAAUCAGGUACUCUUC
RNAcentral lists this non-coding RNA (102 nucleotides) under Alkalihalophilus pseudofirmus. RNAcentral's name for it is "Bacillus pseudofirmus Guanine sequence". It matches the Rfam family "Purine riboswitch aptamer". From Rfam's summary of the family: Riboswitches are metabolite binding domains within certain messenger RNAs that serve as precision sensors for their corresponding targets. Lineage: Bacteria; Bacillati; Bacillota; Bacilli; Caryophanales; Bacillaceae. The record is from RNAcentral. RNAcentral also lists the same sequence under 1 other name.